UACGGAGGGUGCGAGCGUUGUCCGGAAUCAUUUGGCGUAAAGGGCGCGUAGGUGGCCCGCCAAGCGUGCGGUGAAAGCUCGGGGCUCAACCCCGAGUCGGCCGUGCGAACUGGUAGGCUUGAGCACUGUAGAGGCAGGCGGAAUUCCGGGUGUAGCGGUGGAAUGCGUAGAGAUCCGGAAGAACACCGGUGGCGAAGGCGGCCUGCUGGGCAGUAGCUGACACUGAGGCGCGACAGCGUGGGGAGCAAACAGG
RNAcentral lists this ribosomal RNA (253 nucleotides) under uncultured prokaryote. RNAcentral describes it as "partial 16S ribosomal RNA". It matches the Rfam family "Bacterial small subunit ribosomal RNA", at positions 524 to 776 of the family's 1533-position model. The record is from RNAcentral.